Molecule: ribosomal RNA, 253 nt
Filed under: uncultured bacterium
Lineage: Bacteria
Description: partial 16S ribosomal RNA
Rfam family: Bacterial small subunit ribosomal RNA
Source: RNAcentral
UACGGAGGGUGCAAGCGUUAUCCGGAAUCACUGGGAUUAAAGGGCGCGUAGGCUGCUGCAUAAGUCAGGGGUGAAAGUUUGUCGCUUAACGAUGGAAUUGCCUUUGAAACUGCGUGGCUUGAAAUUAGGUGAGGUUGGCGGAAUGUGACAUGUAGCGGUGAAAUGCGUAGAUAUGUCAUAGAACACCGAUGGCGAAGGCGGCUGGCUGACCUAAAUUUGACGCUGAGGCGCGAAAGCGUGGGUAGCAAACAGG